This is a long non-coding RNA of Brassica rapa (field mustard), 3314 nucleotides long. RefSeq lists it as uncharacterized. The record is from RefSeq and is a predicted model, not a curated record. Lineage: Eukaryota; Viridiplantae; Streptophyta; Magnoliopsida; Brassicales; Brassicaceae.
UAAAGGAGAAAAGAGUAGGAUAAAAAGCAGCAGAGAACAAAAGGGAAUAUAUGGAAACUUGUUAUAAAGAACAAAUGGGUAAGAAAAAGCUUUAAAUAUAUUCCUCUUGUGUUGGUUCACCACUUCGCACUUCACAUACUUUUGUGAAUUCAGUUUAUAGUUCUUUUUUUUGGGUUUAAGUAUGUUUCCUAGCUGUGCUACCGUUUUAAAUAAAGGAUUUAAGCUGUUCACAUAAAAAUAGGUUUGAGCCAAAGUUUUCUAUUUUCUAAUAUUUUCCGAACAUUUGUGAAAGAGAGAUAUAUUUUAACCUAUGUAUGGAAUCACCAGUUCACCACUGCCAUUCAUAUAUGAGAAAUGAUUCAAUAGUAUACGUUUUGGUACAUUUGCGGUAAUUUAGAAUCGUUGCCAAAAAAAACACGAAAUAUUCUUCCACCUUAUAUGUGUUCGAUUAAGAAAAAUAGAGAGAGAGAGUUUUUCUUUUUGGUAAUCAAGAGAGAGAGAGAGAGAGUUGAGAUUCAAAAAUAUAUCGAAGAAGCAUAUACGAGCUAGACAACAAGAUUUUUUAUAUUUGCAGUCGCACGAGAGAAAGACAGAGAGACAUACAGAUAACGAUUGAUCAAUUAUUUUUUUCUAAAUCGAAUUUUUAAAAGUUGUAUAAUUGUUCUAAAUUUAGUGGAUGCAAAAGAAAGAAAGAAAGGGAAUAUCUGAUUUGAUCGAUUACCAUAAACUAGGACUCUAGGACAGAUAUUCACUUAAAUAAUAUUGAAAUAAGUUUAGAGUCGCAGAAUCUUCCAACCGGGCUUUAGUGAAGUGACCAGGAAGGUAGAAAAUUCUUGCAUAUAAAUAUUUUAAACCUUUUCAAAGACAUUUUACGCUCCCGUUUUUAUAUAUGUAUUGCAUUGUCUUUCAUAUUUUAUAUGGGUUCCAUAAAAACCAAUGAACUAAUUUAGCAGACCUAACCAACUGGUUUUGGCCUGAUAGUAAAAAAGUUCCAGCUGAAGUUUCGAUUUUCCUUGGCUACUCAUAAAUGUUUUAAGUUGCAAAGUAAUCCAAAUUUCUAUGGACAUUUUAGUGAUUAAUCAUUGGGCAUAGAAAACUUUUGGGAUCAGCCAAGAUUGUCAAAAAAAAAAUUGGCAGACCUAAAGACUCAGUAGAUCUACGUUAACUCAGAUCAAUUUGAUUUUGAUGAUAUAUAGUUAAUUUUUUUUUAUGAUAUGUACGUUUUCAAGAGUUUUAUUAUGACAAUAUUCUAACCAAUUUUUAAAAUAUCAAAUAAAAACGCAAUAAUCAGUUUUCAUUAGGCAUGGGCACUAUUACUUGAUACCCGGCUUAUACUUGCUAUUUGACUCGGCUCGGUUUGAAAAAACAAGUACUUCCUACAAUCAAGUCGAGUAACAAGUAAAUGGAUUCUAUUACUCAUAGGUACAAGUCAUGUAACAAGUAUAUUGUUAUUUUUAGCUAUUAAGCUUGUUACUUAGUAUCUUCUACUUGUUCCUUUAUUGCGAUAUAUUAGUUAGUUUAUUAAAUAUUUGGUAUCUAGUCUAUUAGUUAAUUAAAAUUUGAUAUAUCAUAUGUCUAUCAAAACUAAAAGAAUUGUGCGUUUAAAUAUCAAUACCCAACAUUCCUAAUCUAUUGGGCUAGUACUAACUGAUUUAUUCCAACGAAAAUCUGACGUUUAUAUACAGAGCCGUAAAGGUAAAACUCUGUGUUUUAACUUCAAGUAAGUAAAAUAGGUUAAGUAACUGAAAAGAUCAAAUAUUAAAUCAAGUCAAGUAAAAGAUAAAAUUAAGUAAUAAACUAAGUAAAGUAAUUUACAAGUGUUACAAAAAUUUGCAGGUAGUUGAUACAGUGAGUACUUGUUCAGAACAAGUCAAAUACAUGUAACAUAUAUAACUACUUAACAAACCAAGUCGGGUAACAAGUACCUAAAAAUGCCGGAUACUUGACCCGUGCUCAGGCCUAGUUUUCAUUAUAAGUAUAACUAAGCAUAUACAAAAAAAAAAUCAAAGCAUAUACCGAAAAACUGCAAAAGUGAACAGAGUAGACCAUCACAAAAUCUCAAGUUGUGUAAUCAAACUAAUUGUGAUAUAAAUAAUAAUACUUUAAAAUAUAAAGAUGAACGGAACGGAACGUAACUUGGACUACUCGUAUCUUUUUCCACUUUUAGAGGCCGCAAAAUUAUAAAUUGAACUCUUUUAGUUUUGCGAAGCGACAAAGGAAAAAAAGUCUUUUGAAAAUGUAUAGUUUUUGACAUAAGUUUUAGUGACUUAGCUAUAUUCUUGUAUUUCUCUAUUAUUAGAUCGCUUGUUUGUGAAAAAUUAUUGCCUAAACUCUAAGUCACAUUAUAUCUUGUUUUCUAGAGGCGACGACCAAUCGGAGCAAUCAAACUGAACCAAAUUGAUCUGAUUUAAAAGAAAGAAAAAAACUGUGUUCAGUCCAAAAAAAAAAAAACUGUCUUUUAUUGCUUUAAACGUUCUAAGCACACUUUUGUUAAAAAAAACACACACACAUUUUUAUAUUAUUAUUUCAAUAUAGAAGUCUUGGAGUUUUUUUUUCGCUUAAUCUGAGGUAUUUCAGAUUUAGGCCCAGACUGAUCAAUAAAAAUAUAAAUUUACAUAUACAUUUCACCAAAUUCUCGAUUAAGUGUAUAGUUACAUAUAUGCAUAUCCUCACAUCCUCACGGAUUAAUUAAUAUGGAGGAUAAGUUUUCAACAUGGAUUGUUUACCUUCCUAAAGGCUCGAAUGGGUCUUACCAUUCGACCACACCCGCCAUGGUUAAGUCUUGAGUAUUUGCCGAAUCAUUGAAAUCAUUGGCUUUUGCUAAUGUUUUUCUCAAGUUUAAGUGGGUCAAAAACCAGGCCAGAUUAAUUAGCCGGGUCGUGGAUGUUCGUUCCAACCAAACUGGUCAGUUUAGAUUUCAAAACACUUAUUAAUAGAAAAUAUUAUAUAUUGAAAUCAAAGCAUAACAUUUAAAAAAGAAGAAGAAUAUAAGAAGAAGAAAAAUAAGAGUUGGAAGUAUUCGGGAGUCCUCCAGUUACAAAAAAAAAAAAGUAUUCGGGAGUCCUCCAGUUACAAAAAAAAAAAAAGUAUUCGGGAGUCCGUAUUUUCCCCGUAUUUAAUACAGACAAAGGGGAUAUUCAGACAGAAAUCAAAGUUGAGAAGUAAGUCGAAACGUGUCACGAGAGAAUAUCUUUUGUGCGUGCUUUGCAUGGGAUGCUAAAAAGGAAAUAUCUCUUUACUUUUCGACAGGAAAAAAUUCAUUCCCAAAAUAAAAGAAAAGAAAAGAAAAGAAAAAGAGAUAAUCAAAGUUGGAU